CCCUAUGGGGUGCAGCAGGCGAGAAAACUUUGCAAUGCGCGAAAGCUCGACAAGGUUAAUCUGAGUGGUUCCUGCUAAAGGAACCUUUUGUUAGUCGUAGAACCACUGAUGAAUAAGGGGUGGGCAAGUUCUGGUGUCAGCCGCCGCGGUAAAACCAGCACCUCAAGUGGUCAGGAUGAUUAUUGGGCCUAAAGCAUCCGUAGCCUGUUCUGUAAGUUUUCGGUUAAAUCCAUAAGCUCAACUUAUGGGCUGCCGAAAAUACUGCAGGACUAGGGAGUGGGAGAGGUAGACGGUACUCGGUAGGAAGGGGUAAAAUCCUUUGAUCUAUUGAUGACCACCUGUGGCGAAGGCGGUCUACCAGAACACGUUCGACGGUGAGGGAUGAAAGCUGGGGGAGCAAACCGGAUUAGAUACCCGGGUAGUCCCAGCUGUAAACGAUGCAAACUCGAUGAUGCGUUGGCUUGUUGCUAGCGCAGUGUCGCAGGGAAGCCGUUAAGUUUGCCGCCUGGGAAGUACGUACGCAAGUAUGAAACUUAAAGGAAUUGGCGGGGGAGCACCACAAGGGGUGAAGCCUGCGGUUCAAUUGGAGUCAACGCCUGAAACCUUACCCGGAGAGACAGCAGAAUGAAGGUCAA
This 635-nucleotide ribosomal RNA is filed under the name uncultured marine group I thaumarchaeote. Its description in RNAcentral is "bacterial SSU rRNA". It matches the Rfam family "Archaeal small subunit ribosomal RNA", at positions 321 to 957 of the family's 1478-position model. Lineage: Archaea; Thermoproteati; Nitrososphaerota. The record is from RNAcentral.